Molecule: ribosomal RNA, 433 nt
Filed under: uncultured bacterium
Lineage: Bacteria
Description: partial 16S ribosomal RNA
Rfam family: Bacterial small subunit ribosomal RNA
Source: RNAcentral
AACGAACGCUGGCGGCAGGCCUAACACAUGCAAGUCGAGCGAGUACUUCGGUCUUAGCGGCGGACGGGUGAGUAACGCGUGGGAACGUGCCCUUUGCUUCGCAAUAGCCCUGGGAAACUGGGAGUAAUACCGGAUGAGCUCUUUGGGGGAAAGAUUGAUCGGCGAAGGAUCGGCUCGCGUUGGAUUAGGUGGUUGGUGGGGUAAUGGCCUAUCAAGGCGUGGAUGCAUAGCUGGUUUGGGAGGAUGAUCAGCCACACUGGGAGUGAGACACGGCCGAGAAUCCUACGGGAGGGAGGAGAGGGGAAUCUUAGACAACGGGGGAAGACAUGAUCUAGCCAUGAGGGGUGAGCGAUGAAGGCCGUAGGGAUGUAAAGCACUUUCAGAUGGGAAGAUAAUGACGGUACCAGCAGAAGAAGCACCGGCUAACUCCGUG